RNAcentral lists this ribosomal RNA (253 nucleotides) under uncultured bacterium. Its description in RNAcentral is "partial 16S ribosomal RNA". It matches the Rfam family "Bacterial small subunit ribosomal RNA", at positions 524 to 776 of the family's 1533-position model. The record is from RNAcentral.
UACGUAGGGUCCGAGCGUUGUCCGGAAUUACUGGGCGUAAAGAGCUCGUAGGUGGUUUGUCACGUUGUUCGUGAAAACCCACAGCUCAACUGUGGGCGUGCGAGCGAUACGGGCAGACUAGAGUACUGCAGGGGAGACUGGAAUUCCUGGUGUAGCGGUGGAAUGCGCAGAUAUCAGGAGGAACACCGGUGGCGAAGGCGGUCUGCUGGGCAGUUUCUGACACUGAGGCGCGACAGCGUGGGGAGCAAACAGG